Molecule: ribosomal RNA, 514 nt
Filed under: uncultured bacterium
Lineage: Bacteria
Description: partial 16S ribosomal RNA
Rfam family: Bacterial small subunit ribosomal RNA
Source: RNAcentral
GAUGAACGCUGGCGGCGUGCCUAAUACAUGCAAGUCGAGCGAACAGAUGAGAAGCUUGCUUCUCUGAUGUUAGCGGCGGACGGGUGAGUAACACGUGGGUAACCUACCUAUAAGACUGGGAUAACUCCGGGAAACCGGGGCUAAUACCGGAUAAUAUGUUGAACCGCAUGGUUCAAUAGUGAAAGACGGUUUCGGCUGUCACUUAUAGAUGGACCCGCGCCGUAUUAGCUAGUUGGUAAGGUAACGGCUUACCAAGGCGACGAUACGUAGCCGACCUGAGAGGGUGAUCGGCCACACUGGACCUGAGACACGGUCCAGACUCCUACGGGAGGCAGCAGUAGGGAAUCUUCCGCAAUGGGCGAAAGCCUGACGGAGCAACGCCGCGUGAGUGAUGAAGGUCUUCGGAUUGUAAAACUCUGUUGUUAGGGAAGAACAAAUUUGUUAGUAACUGAACAAGUCUUGACGGUACCUAACCAGAAAGCCACGGCUAACUACGUGCCAGCAGCCGCAGUAA